AGAGUUUGAUCCUGGCUCAGAUUGAACGCUGGCGGCAUGCCUUACACAUGCAAGUCGAACGGCAGCACGGGAGCAAUCCUGGUGGCGAGUGGCGAACGGGCGAGUAAUAUAUCGGAACGUGCCCAGUCGUGGGGGAUAACGCAGCGAAAGCUGUGCUAAUACCGCAUACGAUCUCUGGAUGAAAGCGGGGGACUCAGCAAUGGGCCUCGCGCGAUUGGAGCGGCCGAUAUCAGAUUAGCUAGUUGGUGGGGUAAAAGCCCACCAAGGCGACGAUCUGUAGCUGGUCUGAGAGGACGACCAGCCACACUGGAACUGAGACACGGUCCAGACUCCUACGGGAGGCAGCAGUGGGGAAUUUUGGACAAUGGGCGCAAGCCUGAUCCAGCAAUGCCGCGUGCAGGAUGAAGGCCUUCGGGUUGUAAACUGCUUUUGUACGGAACGAAACGGUCGCCUCUAAUAAAGGCGGCUAAUGACGGUACCGUAAGAAUAAGCACCGGCUAACUACGUGCCAGCAGCCGCGGUAAUACGUAGGGUGCGAGCGUUAAUCGGAAUUACUGGGCGUAAAGCGUGCGCAGGCGGUGAUGUAAGACAGAUGUGAAAUCCCCGGGCUCAACCCUGGGACCUGCAUUUGUGACUGCAUCGCUAGAGUACGGUAGAGGGGGAUGGAAUUCCGCGUGUAGCAGUGAAAUGCGUAGAUAUGCGGAGGAACACCGAUGGCGAAGGCAAUCCCCUGGACCUGUACUGACGCUCAUGCACGAAAGCGUGGGGAGCAAACAGGAUUAGAUACCCUGGUAGUCCAC
Molecule: ribosomal RNA, 800 nt
Filed under: uncultured bacterium
Lineage: Bacteria
Description: bacterial SSU rRNA
Rfam family: Bacterial small subunit ribosomal RNA
Source: RNAcentral